GUUUCUGUACUGAAUAAUUUUGUAAAAUCCAAGUAUUAUUAAUUCCAUAAUAUGUUAAAAAAACAUUAAUAAUUCCGUAAUUACAAAAAUCCAUUUAAUUUCCAAACUCGAUCAGAACAAAUUAAUUGAUUGAAAAUGGGCAUGUUCCAGUAAAAAAAAAAAGUUAAAAAAAAUAUAAAUUAAAGAAGGGUUAAGUACCAAUUUUCCCCCAAUAUUGACACCCCUAUCGCAUUUAACACCCUAAUGGGGUUACCGCUGUUUAUUACCUCAACGUGUAAAAAGUGAAACAAAU
This 292-nucleotide long non-coding RNA is filed under the name Salvia miltiorrhiza (redroot sage). Its description in RNAcentral is "long non-coding RNA (SMIL_LNC009495)". Lineage: Eukaryota; Viridiplantae; Streptophyta; Magnoliopsida; Lamiales; Lamiaceae. The record is from RNAcentral.